AGAAAAAAAAUUAUCUGUAGGUCGCGUACUCCACAGCAGCUCAGUACGUAGGUCAGUGGCUGGCGCUACUUGAUUACUCCCACUCCCACUCCCACAAACCACCGCCGGUUAUCGCCGUGAACGGUGAACCCACAAUCCGAUUUGGGGAUACCUACCUCACAGUGGCUGACUUGCUGGUGGUUGCUGGCUUGCUUUUGCGUGAGAUUGUGUGAUUUGGAGAAUUGGAGUUGCUGCUGUGAUUCUGGCAUGUUCCUGUGUGUUCUCAGCAAGACUUUGCUUUUGGUAAUUCUGUUUUCAUGUGGGUAGCUGAGAGCAUGUUCAAAGUUUGAUUGAUCAAUUAUAGAGUUAGAGAAGUUGAAGGGAGAGUCCAGGUUUGAACUACUUGCCAUUUGUGAGUUGGGUGCAGAAGAUCAUCAUAUUCCGUGUGGCUAGAAGUCAAUUCCAGGUCAUCAAUAAAGGCGUGAGGAUGAGGCUCUCACUGGGUUUCAAACCACAAAAAAAAAAAAAAAAUGGUGUACUUCUAAUUAGCCUAGACAAAUCUCGGAUCCUGGAUCCAUCACUGGUUAUAUGUUCCACCACUUGCAGGAUAUAGGAAUUGGUUGUUCUUAUUCCUUGCUCAGUCGGUCUCUUUCCCCGGUUGAUCCGCAAUAGACGACGGUGCUACAGAGGGGUUUUACAGAGUUGAUCUUAGUUAAUUUCAGACGGAGAGCUACGACAGAUGUGUCUGUUUAAUUAUCUUUUUGAAUUGAACUGCUAUUCUGCACUAGCCUUUGCAUCAAUUGGGUUGAUGCAUGCAUUUUGUUUUUGGUCUGGCAUGCAUGCAUGGUUGCUGAUGAUGUAUUUAAAGAAGUUACAACUAGCUUAUUGCGAUGGUAAUGCAUCAACAAACACCAACCAAAGGAUAAUUUGAUCAUCAAAUUGCUUCAUCAUCAAAUUGCUUGAUCAUCGCGUUUCUAGAAGCAAUGCAGGUGCCAAAUUGCAAAGUGAUUAUCGGCUGGGAACAUUGGUUAUUUUUUGUUUUUUCAUACAUCCAUUUAUUAAUCAAAAAGUUAAAGAAGUUACCCACUGCAAGUUAUUCAAGUAAAAUAACUCUAAAACCAUGCACAACAAAGACUCAAAAAAGAAAAAAAAAAAAGGAAAAAAAAAAAAAAAA
Molecule: long non-coding RNA, 1153 nt
Organism: Rosa chinensis
Lineage: Eukaryota; Viridiplantae; Streptophyta; Magnoliopsida; Rosales; Rosaceae
Exons: 5
Source: RefSeq, a predicted model, not a curated record